Non-coding RNA from Microcebus murinus (gray mouse lemur), 894 nucleotides. The record is from RefSeq and is a predicted model, not a curated record. NCBI's taxonomy places the organism in Eukaryota, Metazoa, Chordata, Mammalia, Primates, Cheirogaleidae.
AUUUUCCUUGGUUUGGAAGGAGAGAGGAAUUGAGCCCAUAGCUGCCCAGCUGAGAGGUGGAAGUUAGAGUGUGGAAUGUACAAAUAUAACACAAAAAUUACAGUAUAGUGAUUGCUUCUUUUACUAAUUCAUUCUCCGGAAAGUCAUGAAACACACUGCAGUGGCAUCUCUGGUUAAAGCUGGCUUCUAUCUAAAGGUGGAUUGGUAAAUUAACAACCAAACUGCAAGCAACCCUCAAACUAACUGCAAUCUUGAGUUAAAGCAUGAAUACUUCUAUCUCCUUCUAUUCUGUGAAGAUCAAUUUCACUUGUGCAGGGCAUUACUGAUUCAGCUUCCCCCUCCACCAGGUCUUUACUCAAAGCUGCCUUAAAAACAACAACAACAACAACAACAACAACAAAAGCCCUUUCCAUCUGUCUCUAUAACUGGAACACCAGGAAGAAGGCAAUCUAUUGGAAAAGUUUAGUAAUUUUUUAGAUAGCUUUUAAAUCAGCAAUACUGGUGUCAUGAAUCCCACCCCUCAAUUUAUAUGUUGAAGCCCGAGCCCCCAAUGUGACAGUAUUUGGAGAUAAGGCUGUUAGGACAUAAAGUUAAGUGCAGUCAUAAGGAUGGAGUCCUAAUCCAGUAGGAUUGGUAACCUCAUAAAAAGAGGAAAAGAGCGAGAUCUUUCUCCCCAGAAGCGUACAUCAAGGAAAGGCCAUUUCAGCACACAGAGAACUGUUGUUUCUGGUCUGCAAGUCAGGAAGAGGGCUCUCACCAGAAGCCAACCAUGAUGCACCUGGAUUGCAGACUUUCAGCCUCCAGACUGUGAGAAAAUGAAUGUUGUUGAACACACCCAGUCUGUGGUAUUUUAUUAUUGCAGCCCAAGCAGACUAAGACAAUUGGAGAGCUAUU